Molecule: unclassified non-coding RNA, 243 nt
Filed under: Melitaea cinxia (Glanville fritillary)
Lineage: Eukaryota; Metazoa; Arthropoda; Insecta; Lepidoptera; Nymphalidae
Description: misc RNA ENSMCXG00005001207.1
Source: RNAcentral
CCAUUGCCUAGUACAUCUGAAAGUGUUUCGCUUUCAGCAAACACCUUAAAUUUACAGCCUACUACUCGUACAAAUGUUUUGCUUUCCACAGCGCUGGUGAGGGUGGUCAACAGUGCAGGCGAGAAGUGCGAUGCCCGUAUCCUGUUGGACAAUGCAGAAGACCAAGUGGGCUACAUCAUCCGACAGUCUUGCAAUCGGAACGCUUGUUCUUAUAAAGGAUAAAGCGCUCCCACCUUUAUGCUG